This 21-nucleotide microRNA is filed under the name Helianthus annuus (common sunflower). The record is from RNAcentral. Lineage: Eukaryota; Viridiplantae; Streptophyta; Magnoliopsida; Asterales; Asteraceae.
GGAAUGGUCGAGUCGGGAAGA